Molecule: ribosomal RNA, 460 nt
Filed under: uncultured bacterium
Lineage: Bacteria
Description: partial 16S ribosomal RNA
Rfam family: Bacterial small subunit ribosomal RNA
Source: RNAcentral
CCUACGGGAGGCAGCAGUGAGGAAUAUUGGUCAAUGGACGCAAGUCUGAACCAGCCAUGCCGCGUGCAGGAAGACGGCUCUAUGAGUUGUAAACUGCUUUUGUACGAGGGUAAACUCCGAUACGCGUAUCUUUCUGUAAGUAUCGUACGAAUAAGGACCGGCUAACUCCGUGCCAGCAGCCGCGGUAAUACGGAGGGUUCAAGCGUUAUCCGGAUUUAUUGGGUUUAAAGGGUGCGUAGGCGGUCGGAUAAGUUAGCGGUGAAAUCCCGAGGCUCAACUUCGGAAUUGCCUCUGAUACUGGUCGGCUAGAGAGUAGUGGCGGUAGGCGGAAUGUAUGGUGUAGCGGUGAAAUGCUUAGAGAUCAUACAGAACACCGAUUGCGAAGGCAGCUUACCAAGGUGCUUCUGACGUUGAAGCACGAAAGCGUGGGGAGCAAACAGGAUUAGAUACCCUAGUAGUC